RNAcentral lists this ribosomal RNA (785 nucleotides) under Mucilopilus castaneiceps. RNAcentral describes it as "eukaryotic LSU rRNA". The stretch from base 283 to 437 matches the Rfam family "5.8S ribosomal RNA". The record is from RNAcentral. Lineage: Eukaryota; Fungi; Basidiomycota; Agaricomycetes; Boletales; Boletaceae.
UCCGUAGGUGAACCUGCGGAAGGAUCAUUAUCGAAAUUCAGAGGGAGGGGGAGAAAGACUUUGGGGGAAGGGAAAUGACUGUCGCUGGCUAGGCUUUUUUGCCUUGCAUGUGCACGUCUUUGGCUUCUUUCGUCGAUCUCUCUUCUCUUUCAAACAAACUUCACACUUGUGCACCUAUUGUAGAUCGGCUUGCAAGAGUUGAUCUACGUUUUUCCUACACACGAACCUGUCUAUAGAAUGUAUGAAAGACCACCAUGGUGUCUAUAAAAUAAAAAUAUAUACAACUUUCAGCAACGGAUCUCUUGGCUCUCGCAUCGAUGAAGAACGCAGCGAAUUGCGAUAAGUAAUGUGAAUUGCAGAUUUUCAGUGAAUCAUCGAAUCUUUGAACGCACCUUGCGCUCCUUGGUAUUCCGAGGAGCAUGCCUGUUUGAGUGUCAUUUUUUAUUCUCAACCAAGUCUUGAUUGAGACUUGGAUUGGAGUUUGGAGGUUGCUGGCUAAGGUCAGCUCUUCUGAAAUGCAUUAGCAAAAGGUUGGCUAGUCUUGGGCACACCAUGGCUUUCGACGUGAUAAUGAUCGUCGUGGACAUUGGAGUGUUUGACUUGCAUGAAUGACCUAUUGCUUUCAAGUGGAAUUGAUUCGGGGCAUGAAUGGCACUUAGCUACUAGUCAGUCGUGAGGCUGACGAACGCGGUGCUUGUACUACCUUGAUGACCGUCUUCUUCGAAACUUGACCUCAAAUCAGGUAGGACUACCCGCUGAACUUAAGCAUAUCAAUAAGCGGAGGA